This 4840-nucleotide long non-coding RNA is filed under the name Homo sapiens (human). RNAcentral's name for it is "HSALNT0254279". Lineage: Eukaryota; Metazoa; Chordata; Mammalia; Primates; Hominidae. The record is from RNAcentral.
UUUUUUUUUUUGAGAUGGAGUCUCACUCUGUCGCCCAGGCUGGAGUGAAGUGGCUCGAUCUUGGCUCUCUGCAACCUCCACCUCCCAGGUUCAAGUGAUUCUCCUGCCUGAGCCUCCUGAGUAGCUGGGAGUACAGGUGCCCGCCACCACACCUGGCUGAUUUUUGUAUUUUUAGUAGAGACCAGGUUUCACUGUGUUGGCCAGGCUGGUCACGAACUCCUGACCUCAGGUGAUCUGUCCGCCUCAGCCUCCCAAAGUGCUGGGAUUACAGGUGUGAGUCACCGUGCCCGGCCUAAUUUUUUUUUUUUUUAAGACGGAGUCUCGCUCUGUCACCCAGGCUAGAGUGCAGUGGUGCGAUCUUGGCUCACUGCAACCUCCGACUUCCGGGUUCACACCAUUCUCCUGACUCAGCCUCCCGAGUAGCUGGGACUACAGCUGCCCACCACCACGCCCGGCUAAUUUUUUAUAUUUUUAGUAGAGGUGGGGUUUCACAGUGUUAGCCAGGAUGGUCGCGACCUCCUGACCUCAUGAUCUGGCUGCCUUGGCCUCCCAAAGUGCUGGGAUUACAGGCGUGAGCCACCGCGCCCAGCCAAUUUUUAUAUUUUUUUAAUAGAGAUAGGGUCUCACCAUGUUACCCAGGCUGGUCUGGAACUCCUGAGCUCAAGCAGUCCUCCCAUCUUCCCUCCCAAAGCUUUGGGAUUAAAGGUGAGUCAUCACGCCCUGCUGCUUCAUUUCUUUUUUUUUUCAUUUUUACUUUUAGAUCCAGGGUCUCCUUGUGUCGCCCAGGCUGGAGUGCAGUGGUGUGAUCACAGCACACUGCAGCCUUGACCUCCUGGACUCAAGGGAUUGUCCUGCCUUGGCCUCCUGAGGAGCUAGGACUACACGUGUGCACCACCAUGCCCAGCUAAUUUUUAAAUUUUUUGCAUAGAUGGGGACUCGCUAUGUUGCCCAGGUUGGUCUCCAACUUACGAUCUCAAGAGAUCCUCCUGCCUCGACCUCCCAAAGGGAUUAUAGGCGGCAGCCACUAUGCCUGGCUGGUGUCUUUUAUCUUGAUAAAAUCAUUUAGAAAUAAUAGCACUUGUAUGGUGCUUACUAGGCCAGGUACCUCAAACAUAUUAUGUCUACAAACUCAGUCAACAGUCACUUUUAUUAAUAAUGCAUCAGCCUGAGAUUGGUGGGUAGCUCUGUUUUGCUGUUUUCCCGUUUUCCCAGAAUCCUCUAGGGCAGUCUCCUCCUGUCCUCUUCUGCCCCUGCCCCAGACGUCCUGGCCCAUGGCAGAUGCCAGAUGUCAGACAACUGAGACAGCUCAGAAGAAUCUCCCAUAGCCAGAAGGAAACUCAAUUCUGCAGGCACUGCACAGAAAUGCUUGGUCCCAUGCUUAGCUCAAUCGCCUCUAUCCAGGAUCUAUGUACUGGGCCGAUACAUAGAUCACAGGAAGUUUUAUUUCUCUCCACCCCUGCCCCCCAACCCCGGGCAAAUUCCAUGGUCCACAAGGACACGGGCAGGCUCCAGCAUGUCCAGUAGGACAGGACGCCUCAGGGAGGGCACGAGGACAAGUGCCUGGGGGUCUGAAACCACUGAGGGCUCUUCCCGGAGAUUUACUUUUGAGACUUAACUCUUUUAAUUACUCUCUGGACUGGCUGACGUUCAGUCGAAGCUGGUUUGCCCAGGGCAGUGGAAAGAAACCAAGAAACCAGAGGCUGAGACUCAGGCUUCAUGUAGCCACAAGGAAGGAAGAAGAGACCCCACAAAACACUCCCAACAGCUCUUUGCCUCCGGUCACCCCAAAGAGAGGCCGUUCUGCCUUUUAAGAUGAAGGGAAACAAGGCCGGGCGCGGUGGCUCACGCCUGUAAUCACAGCACUUUGGGAGGCUGAGGUGGGUGGAUUGCCUGAGCUCAGGAGUUCGAGACCAGCCUGGGCAACAUGGUGAAACCCGUUUCUACUAAAAUACAAAAAAUUGGCCGGGCACAGUGGCACGUGCCUAUAGUCCCAGCUACUCGGGAGGCUGACGCAGAAUUGGGUUGAACCCAGGAGGCAGAGGUUGCAGUGAGCCGAGAUCAUGACACUGCACUCCAGCCUGGGCGACAGAGCAAGACUGUGUCUCCAAAAAAAAAAAAAAAAAAAAAAGGUGUAAGGCGAACAAGAGACACACACAGACCACAGCCUGGUUGUUAAGACUGGGGGUGGGCGCACAAGGCAGUGGUAAAUGGGCCUGGGGUUCUUUCUAGGGUGAUGGAAAUUCUAAAAUUGAAUCUGAGGAUAGCUGCCUAUAUCCGUAAAUAUGUGAAUAUGCUGAAAAACCAUUGACUCGUGCACUUUAAAUGACUGUAUUGUAUGGUACAUAAAACUGUAUCUCGAUAACACCUUCUCAAAAAGAAUAAAUGCAGUGGCUCACACCUGUAAUCCCAGCACUUUGGGAAGCAAAGGAGGGCCAAUCACCUGAGAUCAGGAGUUCGAGACCAGCCUGACCAACAUGGUGAAACCCCAUCUCGACUAAAAAUACAAAAGUAGCCGGGCGUGGUGGCACAUGCCUGUAAUCCCAGCUAGCUGGGAGGCCGAGGCAGGAGAAUUGCUUGAACUCAGGAGGUGGAGGUCGCAGUGAGCCCAGAUUGCAGCAUUGCACUGCAACAUUGCACUCUAGCCUGGGCAACAAGAACGAAACUCGGUCUCAAAAAAAAAAAAAAAAAAAAAAAAGAAGGCAGGCGCAGUGGCUUUCAUCUGUAAUCCCAGCACUUUGGGAGGCCAAGGAGGGCAGAUCACCUGAGGUCAGGAGUUCAAGACCAGCCUGGCCAACAUGGUGAAACCCCGUCUCUAUUAAAAAUAUAAAAAUUAGCUGGGGGUUGUGGUGGGGGCCUGUAAUCCCAGCUACUCAGGAGUCUGAGGCAGGAGAAUCGCUUGAACUCAGGAGGUGGAGGCUGCAGUCAGCCGAGAUUGCACCACUGCAUUCCACCCUGGGUGACAAAGCGGGACUACUUCUCAAAAUAAAUAAAUAAUAAUGAACAUAAAAAAUUAGCUGGGCAUGGUGGCACAUGCCUGUAGUCCCAGCUAUGCUGGAGGCUUAGGAGGCAGGAUCGCUUGAGCCCAGGAGGUCAAGGAAUGCAGUGAGCUGUGACUGCACCACUGCACUCCAGCCUGGGUGACAGAACAAGACCCUGUCUCACAAUGAAUAAAUGAAUGAAUGAAUGCAAAUGCAAGAUAGAGGGGGUUAGUGGUUACCAGGGGCUGGGGGAGUAACAAGUGGGGAGUGACUGCUAAUGAGGACAGAGCUGCUUUUCAGGGUGAUGAGAAUGUUCUGGAAUUAGAUAGCGGUGAUGGUUGCACAACUUUGUCAAUGUACUAAAAACCACUGGGGGCCGGGUGUGGUGGCUCAGGCCUGUAAUCCCAGCACUUUGGGAGGCUGAGGUGCUGGGGUCAGGAGUUCGAGACCAGUCUGGCCAACAUGGCGAAACCCCUUCUCUACUAAAAAUACAAAAAUUAGCCGGGCAUGGUGGCAGACGCCUGUAAUCCCAGCUACUCGGGAGGCUGAGGCAGAAGAAUCGCUUGAACCCGGGAGGUGGAGGUUGCAGUGGGCUGGGAUUGCGUCACUGCACUGUGGCCUGGGCCAAGAGUGAAACUCCAUCUCCAAAAAAAAACCCCACUGAAUUGUACAUUUCUAAAAAGUGGCUUUGGCCAGGCAGUGGCUCAUGCCUGUAAUCCCAGCACUUUGGGAGGCUGAGGCGGGUUAACUGCUUGAGUCCAGGAAUUCGAGACCAGUCUAGUCUAGGCAACACAGCAAAACCCCAUCUCUAUAAAAAUAAGCCAGGUAUGGUGGCACGUGCCUGUAAUUCCCACUACUUGGGAGGCUGAGCUGAGAGGGUCGCCUGAGCCUGGGAGGUCAAGAAUGCGUAAGCCGUGAUUGUACCACUGCACUCCAGCCUGGGUGAGACCCUGUCUCAAAGAAAAAAAACAAAAAAGGUAGCUUUUGUGGAAUGUGAAUUAUAUCUCAAUUUUAAAUAAAGGUUAUGCCCAUCUAUUGACACAAAAUGAUGUCCCUGAGAUUUUAUUCAAUGAAAAAAGAACAGCCUUGAUAAAACCACACGUAUAGAAAAAAGUGGGCAACAUGGCCUGAACUCUCCCCAGGCACCCCCAACAGAAAACGCAGUCUGGGAGCCUGCAGCCUCAGAUGAAGGGCUGGGUUGAGGCCCCAGACCUGCAGAGGGCGGCUCUGGGCUGCCUGGCUUCACCCUCUGCAGAGAAACCUGAAAUCUCUAGCCUGUAGAGGAGCUUCUCCCUGCUUUUCUCCACUGCUAGACCCUCAUGCUCAGGGCCAGGGCCCAGAGUGGGAAUGAGAGAGGUGGGGUGAUGACAGCCUCAGGAUACUCCGCUCAAGCUGGCCUUGGUUCUAGCUCCCAAGCUGCAGCCACCUCUUAGGGGGUUCCUGCUGCCUGGACGCCUCUCCCUGUCACUCAAUGUCACGUCCUCAGAGAAGCCCUCCCUGACCCCAGUCUCAUUCAGGCCCCGUCAUCUGCCCUCCCAGAUUUCAGCAUGUGUCACUGCAGAUCUCAGGACGUGUACAGGGUUCCAGCUCAUAAGGGUACACAUUUGGGGACCAAGUUUCCCCUCUCUUGCUGUCCUCCAACUUUCCAGGAACCAGUCCCUGAGCUCCUCCUGCAGGACGAGGCCCCACACAUUGCUUCUGAUCACAGCCAUCCUUUCCCCGCUCACUUUUCUCACUUUAUCUCCCCAAACCGGGACAGUCAAGAACCACAGAGGACCGAAGUGCACAGUGGACGGAGCGGUCGUUCUGCCCCUCCUUGGCUCGUGGAAACCACCCGCCCUCACCUGGGCGGUCUCCUGCCC